GCAGCAAUCCCGCCUCAGUAUUGUGUUGAAAGCCGACGGGGGGGGGAGUGCGCGAAACCGCUCCGAUGCGAAUCCAUUUGACCUGUGUCCGUGACCUCGCGUGGUGUCCGUGGCGAUCCAUAGGUGCGUGCUAGUGACCUUGAGGUGCGGAGAGGAGCGAAGGGCGUGGUGGAUACGGAAUUAAGGAAAUACGGGCGAUAAAACACCACACACGUGCGAGGUGUUGCCCUUUAGGUAGUGAGGAGAGACAGGUACCAGCAGGAGCAGUAGUGGUAACAACAGCAGGAUGGAGAGCUUCAGCAAGAUCCUGCCAUACUCCUGCUAUGAGCUCGGCCACUGCUGGAAACACUCGUGCUCCUCAGCCUCCUUUGAAAUCUGUAUCAUUGGGUUCAUUGAAAGCAUCAAAAUCUAUGGUGUGGUGUACUUGCUAACCGGUCUUGUGAAUGCUCGGAAAAUAAGUAUGAAGUAUGGGAAAAAGCUCUUGAAAACAUCAGUUUGUUUCCUGACAGUCAAUGCUUUUGGGUACAUUGGCUCCUACUGUGUUGUCAGAAGGUGGAAUUUGAGUCGGCCAAGCUUCAGAAAUGCAGGAAGGAUUAGCGGUGAUGACUGCAGGCUGCCAUCGACCCGCAGGUCAUCACAGGAAUCAAAUGCAGCAUCAGUGUGGCUCGCCAAACACUUCCCCUCACACUGGUGGUGUUGACCUGCCUUGUGAACACCUGCCCUCCUGUGUUCCUGCCCUUAAUAGCCCUCCAGGUGACAUCAGACUGUGGAUGAGGGGACAAGAGAGCCAGUGUUCCAAGUACCACCACCAUCACCACUGCCACCACCACCACCACCACCAUCAGGAGCACAGAUUCACUGAAGACCGCUGUCAUGGAUGGACAAGCGUACCAGCCAGCCUGCCCACCACACCCAAGUCAACAACCACUCUGUCGUCACUGCAGAAAAACACAAUCAACAUGACCCGUUCUCCCCUGAGGAGGUGGAAUUUGAGUAGGGAAAGCUUCAGAAAUGCAGGAAGGAUUAGCGGUGAUGACUGCAGGCUGCCAUCGACCCGCAGAUGCAGGUGGGAGGAGAGGAAAUACCUGAAGAAGUGUUGCAUACGAUAUUUGCCAAGAACACCAGGGGACAGUUUAACAAGACAACUGCAAUGGCACCACAAGUUCCUGCCUUUGAAGUGAAGCUUGCUACAGACUCUGCGUUCAAGCUGACAUGGAGUCAAAGGAUUCCCAAGAGUGUUGAGGAUCAGAUACUGACAAGAACUGGCUGGCAUCUUACUGUGUUCAACAGACUCAAAGGGUUCUCAAUGGAACACUGCUGACUUCAAGAUACUGACAAGAACUGACUGUCACCUUGAUAUGCCCUACAGUGGUGGUGUGUGUGAGGCAGUAAUGCAAGGCUGGGGGAUGCUGGAAUGUUCACUCAGCAAGGUCCUUCUGUCAUUUAACUCAUGGCUGCUACAUCUGCAUAAAAAGGACCACAAAUUGUAUCAUUCCUCAGUUUUAUUUUGCAUCAAUUUGUGUCAUUGUGGCUGCUGUCUCCUCUGUAUACACCCUUGAGUCUCACACCUUCACCUGUUCACCUUCACCUGUUCACCUUCACCUGUUCACCCCUUCUCUGCUUUUCAUCCAGCUCUUCACAUUAUCUCAAGAAUAGAGUUGGUGCCUCUACAUUUGCCCUUAACAUUCUGCUCAUAAUUUGCCCUUUUUUUCUCUGGUAACCCCUGCACACUCACCUCUUGCCAACUGUGU
RNA transcript from Scylla paramamosain (green mud crab), 1751 nucleotides. It is a transcript of the gene named nuclear receptor subfamily 4 group A member 3-like, with no coding region annotated. Lineage: Eukaryota; Metazoa; Arthropoda; Malacostraca; Decapoda; Portunidae. The record is from RefSeq and is a predicted model, not a curated record. The transcript is spliced from 13 exons.